Pogoniulus pusillus (Red-fronted tinkerbird) is the source of this 207-nucleotide long non-coding RNA. RefSeq lists it as uncharacterized. The record is from RefSeq and is a predicted model, not a curated record. Lineage: Eukaryota; Metazoa; Chordata; Aves; Piciformes; Lybiidae. The transcript has 5 exons.
CAGGGUGGAUCAUACUCCUCACAAAACUAUGGUGGCAGCCAACAGAGUGGAUCAUCAUCAUCCUCACAAAAUUAUGGUGGCAACCAGGGUGGAUCCUUCUCUCAAAAUUAUGGUGGUGGCCAAGGUGGCUCAUCCUCCUCAGACAGCUAUGAUGACAGUCAGGAUUCACAAGCUUCCUACGAUGAUAAUCCCAACGCUUGUGAUGAU